UACGUAGGGUGCGAGCGUUAAUCGGAAUUACUGGGCGUAAAGCGUGCGCAGGCGGUUUUGUAAGCCAGAUGUGAAAUCCCCGGGCUUAACCUGGGAAUGGCAUUUGGGACUGCAAGGCUGGAGUUUGGCAGAGGAGACUGGAAUUCCUGGUGUAGCAGUGAAAUGCGUAGAUAUCAGGAGGAAUACCGAUGGCGGAAGGCAGGUCUCUGGGCUAUAACUGACGCUCAUGCAUGAAAGCGUGGGGAGCAAAC
Molecule: ribosomal RNA, 251 nt
Filed under: uncultured bacterium
Lineage: Bacteria
Description: partial 16S ribosomal RNA
Rfam family: Bacterial small subunit ribosomal RNA
Source: RNAcentral